GAUGAACGCUGGCGGCGUGCUUAACACAUGCAAGUCGAACGGAAAGGCUCCUGCUUGCAGGGGUACUCGAGUGGCGAACGGGUGAGUAACACGUGGGUGAUCUGCCCAGCACUUCGGGAUAAGCCUGGGAAACUGGGUCUAAUACCGGAUAGGACGAUGGUUUGGAUGCCAUUGUGGAAAGUUUUUUCGGUGUGGGAUGAGCUCGCGGCCUAUCAGCUUGUUGGUGGGGUAAUGGCCUACCAAGGCGUCGACGGGUAGCCGGCCUGAGAGGGUGUACGGCCACAUUGGGACUGAGAUACGGCCCAGACUCCUACGGGAGGCAGCAGUGGGGAGUAUUGCACAAUGGGCGCAAGCCUGAUGCAGCGACGCCGCGUGGGGGAUGACGGCCUUCGGGUUGUAAACUCCUUUCGCUAGGGACGAAGCGCAAGUGACGGUACCUGGAGAAGAAGCACCGGCUAACUACGUG
This 466-nucleotide ribosomal RNA is filed under the name uncultured bacterium. Its description in RNAcentral is "partial 16S ribosomal RNA". It matches the Rfam family "Bacterial small subunit ribosomal RNA", at positions 28 to 507 of the family's 1533-position model. The record is from RNAcentral.